Molecule: transfer RNA, 77 nt
Filed under: Betaproteobacteria bacterium SG8_41
Lineage: Bacteria; Pseudomonadati; Pseudomonadota; Betaproteobacteria
Also listed under: 4 other names
Description: tRNA-Arg
Rfam family: tRNA
About the family: Transfer RNA (tRNA) molecules are approximately 80 nucleotides in length. Their secondary structure includes four short double-helical elements and three loops (D, anti-codon, and T loops). Further hydrogen bonds mediate the characteristic L-shaped molecular structure. tRNAs have two regions of fundamental functional importance: the anti-codon, which is responsible for specific mRNA codon recognition, and the 3' end, to which the tRNAs corresponding amino acid is attached (by aminoacyl-tRNA synthetases). tRNAs cope with the degeneracy of the genetic code in two manners: having more than one tRNA (with a specific anti-codon) for a particular amino acid; and 'wobble' base-pairing, i.e. permitting non-standard base-pairing at the 3rd anti-codon position.
Source: RNAcentral
GCGCCCGUAGCUCAACCGGACAGAGCACCGGCCUUCUAAGCCGGGGGUUGUGGGUUCGAGUCCCGCCGGGCGUGCCA